RNAcentral lists this ribosomal RNA (315 nucleotides) under uncultured eukaryote. RNAcentral's name for it is "partial 18S ribosomal RNA". It matches the Rfam family "Eukaryotic small subunit ribosomal RNA", at positions 1470 to 1796 of the family's 1831-position model. The record is from RNAcentral.
CCCUUAGAUGUUCUGGGCUGCACGCGCGCUACACUGACGCACGCAACAGGUGCCUGCUCCGAGAGGACUGGGUAAUCAUUUGAGUGUGCGUCGUGAUGGGGAUAGAAUAUUGUAAUUAUUACUCUUCAACGAGGAAUUCCUAGUAAGCGCAAGUCAGCAGCUUGCGCUGAUUACGUCCCUGCCCUUUGUACACACCGCCCGUCGCUCCUACCGAUGGGUGAUCCGGUGAAUGAUUCGGACUUCAGCGGCUCCUCUGGGGUGCGCCGGAGAAAGUUUUGUGAACCUUAUCACUCGGAGGAAGGAGAAGUCGUAACA